CAAUUAAACGUAACAUUCGCUCAUAUAAUCGCAGGAAUAUGGCCUGCAAGUUUCUACCGGAUGACCGUAAAUCAUUUGACUAUGAGUGAGCAGUGGAAGGGC
Molecule: non-coding RNA, 102 nt
Organism: Bacillus sp. FJAT-27231
Lineage: Bacteria; Bacillati; Bacillota; Bacilli; Caryophanales; Bacillaceae
Source: Rfam